CCUACGGGAGGCUGCAGUAGGGAAUAUUGGGCAAUGGACGCAAGUCUGACCCAGCCACGCCGCGUGAAGGAUGACUGCCCUAUGGGUUGUAAACUUCUUUUGUAUGGGAAGAAACCUCCGCACGUGUUCGGAGCUGACGGUACCAUAAGAAUAAGCAUCGGCUAACUCCGUGCCAGCAGCCGCGGUAAUACGGAGGAUGCAGGCGUUGUCCGGAUUCAAGGGGUUUUAGGGGGAGAAAGACGGCAGUGGAGAAAGCUCGCAGCUUAACUGUGAAAAUGCCAUUGAAACUGAUUUUCUUGAGUUCGAUUGAGGUAGAUGGAAUGUAUCAUGUAGCGGUGAAAUGCUUAGAUAUGAUACAGAACACCAAUUGCGAAGGCAGUCUACUAAGUCGAUACUGACGCUGAGGCACGAAAGCAUGGGGAGCAAACAGGAUUAGAUACCCCUGUAGUC
Molecule: ribosomal RNA, 450 nt
Filed under: uncultured bacterium
Lineage: Bacteria
Description: partial 16S ribosomal RNA
Rfam family: Bacterial small subunit ribosomal RNA
Source: RNAcentral